Non-coding RNA from Myotis davidii, 76 nucleotides. NCBI's taxonomy places the organism in Eukaryota, Metazoa, Chordata, Mammalia, Chiroptera, Vespertilionidae. The record is from Rfam.
GAGACACCCUUAUGGGGCAGGACUUGCUUUAGUGGGGCUUUGAUGCUCACUGAGUCUGCCUGUUGAGUGUGUCACU